AUUGAACGCUGGCGGAAUGCUUUACACAUGCAAGUCGAACGGCAGCACGGACUUCGGUCUGGUGGCGAGUGGCGAACGGGUGAGUAAUGUAUCGGAACGUGCCCAGUCGUGGGGGAUAACGUAGUGAAAAUUACGCUAAUACCGCAUACGAUCUAUGGAUGAAAGCGGGGGAUCGCAAGACCUCGCGCGAUUGGAGCGGCCGAUAUCAGAUUAGGUAGUUGGUGGGGUAAAGGCCCACCAAGCCAACGAUCUGUAGCUGGUCUGAGAGGACGACCAGCCACACAGGAACUGAGACACGGUCCAGACGCCUACGGGAGGCAGCAGUGGGGAAUUUUGGACAAUGGGCGAAAGCCUGAUCCAGCCAUUCCGCGUGCAGGAUGAAGGCCCUCGGGUUGUAAACUGCUUUUGUACAGAACGAAAAGGUUUCUACUAAUACUAGGAGCUCAUGACGGUACUGUAAGAAUAAGCACCGGCUAACUACGUGCCAGCCGCCGCGGUAA
This 500-nucleotide ribosomal RNA is filed under the name uncultured bacterium. RNAcentral describes it as "partial 16S ribosomal RNA". It matches the Rfam family "Bacterial small subunit ribosomal RNA", at positions 30 to 523 of the family's 1533-position model. The record is from RNAcentral.